CCCCAGCCUAUAGGAUUUCAGAGAUGUAUCCAAUUUUCAGUCCAGACGAUUCCAGAAGUCCUGCCAUUUGCCCAGAUGCCCUGCUCCCAAGGGUCCCUACAAGGGGCAUUUUAUGAGAAUAAAGGGGAAGAUCCAU
Molecule: non-coding RNA, 136 nt
Organism: Vicugna pacos (alpaca)
Lineage: Eukaryota; Metazoa; Chordata; Mammalia; Artiodactyla; Camelidae
Source: RefSeq, a predicted model, not a curated record